RNAcentral lists this long non-coding RNA (323 nucleotides) under Elaeis guineensis (African oil palm). Its description in RNAcentral is "long non-coding RNA (EGUI_LNC028153)". The record is from RNAcentral. Lineage: Eukaryota; Viridiplantae; Streptophyta; Magnoliopsida; Arecales; Arecaceae.
CGAGCUCAGAUUUUACUAAAUUAAAAUACAUUGAUAUAUUAACUUCUACUAAUUCGGAGGGGUCAAUCCCAUCUUGACUCACGCACUGACUUGAUAGGUACUUGACUACAUCCAGAAAUCUUUUAUCACUGAAUUAAAAACUCAAUUAGUCCAGCACUAAACAAUGAGUUGCUUGCAAAUCACCAUGGUGAUCUCAGAUCGAAGGAACACUUAUACCCAUACCCUUCGCGAGCUACCCUUGACAGCACAGUGCUCCAUAGUUGAUCACGUUUAGUGAUGAUAUACUCCUACAUCUCACCUGCAUGCCAUAGCAGUGUCUCCAC